CGUUCUCAGGGCGGGGUGGAAUUCCCCACCGGCGGUAAGCCCCUUCUGACAGAGAUGAAGAGGCAAGCCCGCGAGCGCUCUCGUGUGCACAUCCAUGCACAUGAGGGGUCCAGCAGAUCCGGUGCAAUUCCGGAGCCGACGGUCACAGUCCGGAUGGAAGAGAAUG
RNAcentral lists this non-coding RNA (166 nucleotides) under uncultured Corynebacterium sp. RNAcentral's name for it is "FMN riboswitch (RFN element)". It matches the Rfam family "FMN riboswitch aptamer (RFN element)". From Rfam's summary of the family: The RFN element is a highly conserved domain that is found frequently in the 5'-untranslated regions of prokaryotic mRNAs that encode for flavin mononucleotide (FMN) biosynthesis and transport proteins. This element is a metabolite-dependent riboswitch that directly binds FMN in the absence of proteins. Lineage: Bacteria; Bacillati; Actinomycetota; Actinomycetes; Mycobacteriales; Corynebacteriaceae. The record is from RNAcentral.